Cajanus cajan (pigeon pea) is the source of this 814-nucleotide long non-coding RNA. RefSeq lists it as uncharacterized. The record is from RefSeq and is a predicted model, not a curated record. Lineage: Eukaryota; Viridiplantae; Streptophyta; Magnoliopsida; Fabales; Fabaceae.
UUUCUUCAACACUUGUUACACAACCUUUAAGUCCUUUUUGGUCUUUACAGUUUUCAUUUUCUUUAUAACUUUCAUUGUCUUGCUUCUGCUCAGCGCAGGAAUCAAUAAAAUUAACCAUACCAGAAUUAGGGUUUCUGGCAGCACAUGUUUCUCAGUUUUAGCUCUAAGGAGAAGGAAAAAUGUAGAUGGGCAGUGUUCUACUUCACAUUGGGAGGAAAAGAGAAUGAAGGAGCUUCCCUCAGCCCAUUCAUAGAUAUGAUGAAAGAAUGGGUUGCUGAACUAACAUGAUUCAUUCAUACAAUAGUAUUCAGCUAUAGGUUUUGCUAUUGUGUGAAUGAAGAUUUGGUAACCCUCUUUAUCUGUUGCUUGGACUGAAGGGAGCUCCUUCUUUCUGUUGCUUCCAUUUGUAUCCACUUCUCAAAAGGCUUUAUGCAUGUCUAAGCUUAAUCAAUAUGUGCUUAGUACAAAAAAAGGUGCGAUCAGUACACUGUAGCUGAUGUUACACAUCGUCUUCUAGCUCUUUGAAAAUUGUGUGAUCCUCCAAGACAUGUCUAUAAAUCUUACAAUAGCACUUGUAUAUAUCUAAUGAUUUAGUAGUUUGUUUAGUUUAAACUUUAACAUGAUCACGGUAUGUUUAUAUAUACAUGUUCCUUUCAUCAAGUAGAUAACUAACAGUUUGCCACUUUCCUUUCAGGUUGUUUUUGGUACAAGUUUUUCUUCUCUACAUUUGAGUUCUUUCUUUCUUUGGGUUUGGGAAAGCAAGGGUCUGUACAUCUCACAGGACUAGUUGCAAUGUCUAUUCUUUUCCAUUUUA